UGGGAGUAGAUUCUAUUAAAAGUUCAAUAUGAUUUACUCUGUCAUGGGUACUUUCAUCUUAGUAUUUUUUGCAUUAUUAUUUGUUGUAGAUAAAUGACACCUAGCAACACCACACCGUUUGCAGUCCUUGAGAAGGACAAGCUGAAUGGGACAAACUAUACGGAUUGGAUUCGUAACCUACGAAUUUUUCUUAGGGCUGAGAAAAAGGAAGACGUUCUGGACACCCCAUUACCAGAAGAACCUGCUGAUGAUGCACCUGCUAUUUGUUAAGAAUGCUUACA
This 281-nucleotide long non-coding RNA is filed under the name Setaria viridis. RNAcentral's name for it is "long non-coding RNA (SVIR_LNC006680)". Lineage: Eukaryota; Viridiplantae; Streptophyta; Magnoliopsida; Poales; Poaceae. The record is from RNAcentral.